CAGUGAGGAAUAUUGGACAAUGGCCGGAAGGCUGAUCCAGCCAUGCCGCGUGCGGGAGGACGGCCCUAUGGGUUGUAAACCGCUUUUGCGGGGGAGCAAUAAUCACUACGUGUAGUGAGAUGAGAGUACCCUGCGAAUAAGCAUCGGCUAACUCCGUG
Molecule: ribosomal RNA, 158 nt
Filed under: uncultured bacterium
Lineage: Bacteria
Description: partial 16S ribosomal RNA
Rfam family: Bacterial small subunit ribosomal RNA
Source: RNAcentral